UUUUUGUUUGUUUGUUGAUGUUUAGUUGGUACAAUAAGUUAUUUUCAAAUUGCCUUAUAGUUGCUUUUCUUAAAAACUGUAUUUUUAAAAUUUUGAGUGCAUAUUUUUGAAAAAAAAAAUAAGAAUAGUUAAAAAGUAAAAAAAAAAAUUGUAUAUUUAAGAAAAAAUCUAAAAAAUUUAGGUCUGUGUUGUGAACGAAGACCAAAGCCAUUGGUGGAUAUUCAACCCAAUACUCAGUUUGGACUUUCAGCUCUUGAGCCCAAUGGAACACUCCAGAAUAUAACAGGGUCUAAAUUAUAUUAAAGCAAUAAUAUAGGGGCAAUAUUGGAAUUUCAGUAGUGAGUCCUAUAAAUUGACGGCUAUCAAAGGCCUCCCUCACUCUGGUGCCCUAGUCCUUCAGUUUUUCACUAUAUAUAAUCAGUUUAAGCUGAAACCCUAACAUCAAAGCAGGAGGCUUAUACCUCUUCUCCCCUUCUUCCUCGUCCUCUGUAUUUUUAGGUUUGUCGUAGUACUCUUGCCAGCGAAACCCUGUCGGUGUUGUUUCAUUAUAUUCACCGGGCCUUUGAUUUUCCUUAUUUGAAUGGUUUUGCCUGUGCCUUUGCCUAUGAUGGUUUUUAAAUAUACUUUGAGAUUAAUCUCUAUGAAAAAGACUUAAAUCUGAGGCUUUUGAGGCUCUACCUCUCCUCUUGCAACUUUAUAUCUCCUUUUGUUGGGUAUGAAGCUUGAAAGGUCAAGUUUUUUGUGCUGUUUUGUCUACUCAAAUUAGAGUGAUGGGUUGAUAACACCAACCAAGGAAUUUAAUUUGUACGAGGCAUAAUGGUAAUAACAGGCAAAAUUUAAUAAUUGGAAGUAUAGUGAAGGCGCUCAUUUACUUUUUUCACAAUAGUGAUGGGUGUGAGUGGUGUAUCAGAUCAACAAAGCUUGAAUCCCCUUUUGAGAGUUGUUUGAACGUUUCAUUUCCUUCAUCGGAAAUAACAAGUUAAUUAAGUUCAGGAUCACUCUGAAUAUCAACAACUCGAGAAGUGGUUGGCAAUACUAUACAGCCGAUCCGUGAAACAAAUUUGCCGCCCGAUUAAGUGGUGGUACCUUUAAGAUAUCGUAACGCUGAGUGUGCUGAAGACAACCCGGUCUCCAAGGAAAAACCCUUUUUGGAAAAAAACUUUCUCCUGAAGUAUGAUACUAUCAGCCAAUGUCGUAGUUCAAAUUUUACAAUUGUCUUUGUUGGUUGAUUUUAUUAGAAUGUUUGAUUAUUAGUUUCUUUAAUUUUUGAAUAUUUUUUUAGAAAAAAUUAUUGAACUUUUAAAAUCAUAUAUUUUGUAAAUUGAUAAAUAAAUUGCACUAUAUUAUUGUUAAAGUGUAGUUUUGUAGGGAUAUUAUAAAUAGAUUAUUGGUAUAAUAUAUGUAAAUAUUACUACAUAGUGUAUAUCUCAUAAUUUUUUA
This is a long non-coding RNA of Humulus lupulus (European hop), 1440 nucleotides long. RefSeq lists it as uncharacterized. The record is from RefSeq and is a predicted model, not a curated record. The transcript has 2 exons. Lineage: Eukaryota; Viridiplantae; Streptophyta; Magnoliopsida; Rosales; Cannabaceae.